This is a long non-coding RNA of Herpailurus yagouaroundi (jaguarundi), 499 nucleotides long. RefSeq lists it as uncharacterized. The record is from RefSeq and is a predicted model, not a curated record. The transcript has 4 exons. Lineage: Eukaryota; Metazoa; Chordata; Mammalia; Carnivora; Felidae.
GAAUGCAGCGAUCAUGUAAAUUAGAGAAAGGAGACAAAAAUAACUUCUGAAAUAUUCUUCUCAUGUGAUAUUUAUUCUGGAUGAAGCACUAAGAUCGCUCAUAGAGGUGUAUCACUGUAAUUUGCUGCCAGAAGUGUUUUCUUCCAAAAGGCUUUCCUGUGGAGAAUGUGUUUGCCACACCUCUCAGCAGAACCACCAUAAUUGAAUGAACAGAUCAUCUCGCACACCCAGAAUUCUGAGUUUGCACCUCGUUUUGAUGACUGUUGAAUGACACCGUGCCAUAGUCCGUGACCGUUUGUAGUAAGCAAGGAAAUGCUAUUAGAACACCCAUGUUCAUUUCUUGCUUGAGAGACCUAUAUGGUUACUUCUCUAUGUAGCAUUCUUAACAAGCACACACUGUUUUCUUUAUAUAUCGCUAUCUGCUAGGUGAGGACAUAGAAACUGCUUCGACUUUCAGCCAGUUUUGUGGUUUCAGGCAAGCCCUCUAGCAAGAUGGGGC